AGCGAACGCUGGCGGCAGGCUUAACACAUGCAAGUCGAACGGGCACUUCGGUGCUAGUGGCAGACGGGUGAGUAACGCGUGGGAACGUGCCUUUCGGUUCGGAAUAAUCCAGGGAAACUUGGACUAAUACCGGAUACGCCCUUCGGGGAAAGAUUUAUCGCCGAAAGAUCGGCCCGCGUCUGAUUAGCUAGUUGGUGAGGUAAAGGCUCACCAAGGCGACGAUCAGUAGCUGGUCUGAGAGGAUGAUCAGCCACACUGGGACUGAGACACGGCCCAGACUCCUACGGGAGGCAGCAGUGGGGAAUAUUGGACAAUGGGCGAAAGCCUGAUCCAGCCAUGCCGCGUGAGUGAUGAAGGCCUUAGGGUUGUAAAGCUCUUUUGUCCGGGAAGAUAAUGACUGUACCGGAAGAAUAAGCCCCGGCUAACUUCGUG
This 432-nucleotide ribosomal RNA is filed under the name uncultured bacterium. Its description in RNAcentral is "bacterial SSU rRNA". It matches the Rfam family "Bacterial small subunit ribosomal RNA", at positions 29 to 507 of the family's 1533-position model. The record is from RNAcentral.